CCUACGGGUGGCAGCAGUGAGGAAUAUUGGUCAAUGGACGAGAGUCUGAACCAGCCAAGUCGCGUGAAGGAUGACUGCCCUAUGGGUUGUAAACUUCUUUUAUAUGGGAAUAAAAUGUUCCACGUGUGGGAUUUUGUAUGUACCAUAUGAAUAAGGAUCGGCUAACUCCGUGCCAGCAGCCGCGGUAAUACGGAGGAUCCGAGCGUUAGCCGGAUUUAUUGGGUUUAAAGGGAGCGUAGGUGGAUUGUUAAGUCAGUUGUGAAAGUUUGCGGCUCAACCGUAAAAUUGCAGUUGAAACUGGCAGUCUUGAGUGCAGUAGAGGUGGGCGGAAGUCGUGGUGUAGCGGUGAAAUGCUUAGAUAUCACGCAGAACUCCGAUUGCGAAGGCAGUUCACUGGACUGCAACUGACACUGAGGCUCGAAAGUGUGGGUAUCAAACAGGAUUAGAUACCCGAGUAGUC
Molecule: ribosomal RNA, 460 nt
Filed under: uncultured bacterium
Lineage: Bacteria
Description: partial 16S ribosomal RNA
Rfam family: Bacterial small subunit ribosomal RNA
Source: RNAcentral